UGGGGAAUAUUGGACAAUGGGCGAAAGCCUGAUCCAGCCAUGCCGCGUGUGUGAAGAAGGUCUUCGGAUUGUAAAGCACUUUAAGCUGGGAGGAAGGGCAUUAACCUAAUACGUUAGUGUUUUGACGUUACCGGCAGAAUAAGCACCGGCUAACUCUGUGCCAGCAGCCGCGGUAAUACAGAGGGUGCAAGCGUUAAUCGGAAUUACUGGGCGUAAAGCGCGCGUAGGUGGUUUGUUAAGUUGAAUGUGAAAUCCCCGGGCUCAACCUGGGAACUGCAUCCAAAACUGGCAAGCUAGAGUAGGGUAGAGGGUGUUGGAAUUUCCUGUGUAGCGGUGAAAUGCGUAGAUAUAGGAAGGAACACCAGUGGCGAAGGCGACCACCUGGACUCAUACUGACACUGAGGUGCGAAAGCGUGGGGAGCAAACA
This 427-nucleotide ribosomal RNA is filed under the name uncultured prokaryote. RNAcentral's name for it is "bacterial SSU rRNA". It matches the Rfam family "Bacterial small subunit ribosomal RNA", at positions 355 to 774 of the family's 1533-position model. The record is from RNAcentral.